Molecule: transfer RNA, 64 nt
Filed under: Acrotona sp. prope austiniana HE-2010
Lineage: Eukaryota; Metazoa; Arthropoda; Insecta; Coleoptera; Staphylinidae
Description: tRNA-Leu
Source: RNAcentral
AUUAUUUUGGCAGAUUAGUGCAUUAAAUUUAGAAUUUAAUUAUGUAAUGAAGAUUACAAAUAAU